This 434-nucleotide ribosomal RNA is filed under the name Salmonella enterica subsp. enterica serovar Enteritidis. RNAcentral describes it as "bacterial LSU rRNA". It matches the Rfam family "Bacterial large subunit ribosomal RNA", at positions 468 to 905 of the family's 2925-position model. The record is from RNAcentral. Lineage: Bacteria; Pseudomonadati; Pseudomonadota; Gammaproteobacteria; Enterobacterales; Enterobacteriaceae.
AAAUACUCCUGACUGACCGAUAGUGAACCAGUACCGUGAGGGAAAGGCGAAAAGAACCCCGGCGAGGGGAGUGAAAAAGAACCUGAAACCGUGUACGUACAAGCAGUGGGAGCACCCUUUGGGUGUGACUGCGUACCUUUUGUAUAAUGGGUCAGCGACUUAUAUUCUGUAGCAAGGUUAACCGAAUAGGGGAGCCGGAGGGAAACCGAGUCUUAACCGGGCGUUAAGUUGCAGGGUAUAGACCCGAAACCCGGUGAUCUAGCCAUGGGCAGGUUGAAGGUUGGGUAACACUAACUGGAGGACCGAACCGACUAAUGUUGAAAAAUUAGCGGAUGACCUGUGGCUGGGGGUGAAAGGCCAAUCAAACCGGGAGAUAGCUGGUUCUCCCCGAAAGCUAUUUAGGUAGCGCCUCGUGAAUUCAUCUCCGGGGGUAG